GGACAAGAGGCAGAGGCAGAGAGACAGAGAGGAACCACCCUAAGAAGAGAGACCAGGGUCAAGAUGGCAGACUAGAAGCAGCUCAUGUGCACCACUCUCACAGGGAGGAAACAAAAGGGCUAGUGAACACUAAUCCUGCAGGUUGAUCAUCUCAGAAACCAUGUUAGGAUCCACCAAGGCAGCAUAGGAACACAGCAGAGAAGAGUGAAGCUGGACACAAGCCUGUCUGGGCUCAUGAUGGAGCCAAGAGAACCUCUCCAACACAGGAAAGGGAUCACCUUUCUGCUGAGAAAACAAGGCAUAGCUAUUUUCUCCAUCAUAUCAUCCCAGCUCACAGGGAUUUCUCAUAGGAAGUGGUUCUCAGACCCGGGUAUAUGUAAGUAUUAUCUGGGGGACUUGAACAAUUCCUCCAUGCCUGCACCCCUCU
Molecule: long non-coding RNA, 427 nt
Filed under: Pan troglodytes (chimpanzee)
Lineage: Eukaryota; Metazoa; Chordata; Mammalia; Primates; Hominidae
Description: long non-coding RNA NONPTRT004149
Source: RNAcentral